Molecule: ribosomal RNA, 446 nt
Filed under: uncultured bacterium
Lineage: Bacteria
Description: partial 16S ribosomal RNA
Rfam family: Bacterial small subunit ribosomal RNA
Source: RNAcentral
CCUACGGGUGGCAGCAGUCGAGAAUCAUUCACAAUGGGGGAAACCCUGAUGGUGCGACGCCGCGUGGGGGAAUGAAGGUCUUCGGAUUGUAAACCCCUGUCAUGUGGGAGCAAAUUAAAAAGAUAGUACCACAAGAGGAAGAGACGGCUAACUCUGUGCCAGCAGCCGCGGUAAUACAGAGGUCUCAAGCGUUGUUGGGAAUCACUGGGCGUAAAGUGUGCGUAGGCUGUUUCGUAAGUCGUGUGUGAAAGGCGCGGGCUCAACCCGCGGACGGCACAUGAUACUGCGAGACUAGAGUAAUGGAGGGGGAACCGGAAUUCUCGGUGGAGCAGUGAAAUGCGUAGAUAUCGAGAGGAACACUCGUGGCGAAGGCGGGUUCCUGGACAUUAACUGACGCUGAGGCACGAAGGCCAGGGGAGCGAAAGGGAUUAGAUACCCCUGUAGUC